RNAcentral lists this ribosomal RNA (456 nucleotides) under Aphodius kububanus. RNAcentral's name for it is "partial 16S ribosomal RNA". Lineage: Eukaryota; Metazoa; Arthropoda; Insecta; Coleoptera; Scarabaeidae. The record is from RNAcentral.
GUCUUUUUGAUCAUAAUUUAAAGUCUGACCUGCCCGAUGAGUUAUUCAAUGGCCGCAGUAUUUUAACUGUGCGAAGGUAGCAUAAUAAUUAGUUUUUUAAUUGAGAACUGGUAUGAAUGGUUGGACGAGAAAAUAGCUGUCUCAGUUUAAUUUUAAUUAGAAUUUUAUUUUUAAGUUAAAAAGCUUAAAUAUUUUUAAAAGACGAGAAGACCCUAUAGAGUUUUAUAUUAAAUUUAUAUUGAAUUUAUAAAGUAUUUUAUUUAUUUUAUUUAAUUUUAUUAUUUUAUUGGGGUGAUAUAAAAAUUUGAUAAACUUUUUAUUUUUUAUAACAUUGAUAUAUGUUUAAAUGAUCCAUUAUUUAUGAUUAAAAGAUUAAAUUACCUUAGGGAUAACAGCGUAAUUUUUUUUUAGAGUUCUUAUCGAAAAAAAAGUUUGCGACCUCGAUGUUGGAUUAAA